Molecule: long non-coding RNA, 2131 nt
Organism: Fukomys damarensis (Damara mole-rat)
Lineage: Eukaryota; Metazoa; Chordata; Mammalia; Rodentia; Bathyergidae
Source: Ensembl
CAUACUCCAUACUUUAUCUCUUCCCCAUUCUGAACACUCCUGCCCCUCUAACUCAUUGUCUAAAAUCGUUGGUGAAGAAGCACUGGUCUCACCUGGGAGCUGGUUAGAAAACAGAAUAUCAGACGCCACGCCAGAUCUCUGGCAAGCAUUGAUCUGUACCACCUCAAGGGUAGAACAAGAGAGGGUGGGCAUCAGGAGACUUGAGGUGGGCACCACCGGGGUUGCUGAAGAGGUUGGAUUUGAAUCAGAGGUGGGGUCCGAGAGUAUGCAUGUCAGUAUGCACAUGUCUGCAGUCCUAGACCAUGGGCUGGCUGAGGCCGCUCCUUCCCUCCCCUGGGUGUGGAUUACCAGGGCUCCAACUUUACAUGGCUGUGAUGGCACCCCGCCUCCACCUACUGCUGUGAGUCAAAUGGAAUCUGUUCAUAUCUGGUGGGGACACCUCUGAUGCGAGGCAAGCCAGGAGAUCCUUUAUGCCUGACCUCCGGCAAUCCAUUUAUCUGACCUGAGUCUCAUAAAGUCGUCCUGAUGAGCCCAAUCGCUUGCUAAUGGUUAUGAGCUGAGACCUGGGAAUUUAUGGCCGAGGCCUUGGUGGCCAUGAACAGGAGUAGCACUACAUGUCACCGGACGAGACAGACUGCAUGGCUGGGAGAUUAGGCUCUGUGUGGCUUCAGUCCGUAGAGGUCUGGGUCUAGGAUCACAGCUGGGAUUAUGCCCUCACCACACACACACACACACACACACACACACACACACACACACAUGCACACAUGGGGCAAAGAGCAGUGCCCUGGGUGGGAGGAGGACAGCUGAGGAGGACGCAGACCUCUAAAACAGCCUGGGAGACUAUUGAGAAAGGAGUCCUUGGUUGGAAAUGCAGAGGUGGAAGGGCCUGGUCUCAUCUUUGUGACACAGAGUUCAUCAUUUCAAUUGCGGCCUCAGGCCUAAGUCAGAACAGCCCUUUCCUCUUUGAGAAUGCAUCUCUGGAAGUGUCAGGCAAGUAUUCCAGAAGUCUGGGCAUGAGAGUGAUCAGGAAAGGCCCAGUGGAUGGGAUAGGGGCCAGCAGGGCAUUGAUCGGCAUGGCCAUGUCUUCAAAUAACGUCAUACACAUACAGACUGACAGAGACAGAGACAGAGACAGAGACAGAGACGGAGCAGGGGCGGAGUCUGGUCUGACUGGGAGACUAAGCCAAAUCAAGUGUGGAACAACUCCAAAGGACCCAGGCAGAAACCUAAGGAUUCCUAAGCCACAGGGCACAACACCCCCGACCCCAUCCUUGGUACCCUCCAAAGCAAGUCAUUAUGGGAGACAGACAUGAGCCCGCCCAAUGUCACAGGUCCAUUCUCCCUUCUGUGCUCUGCCCACCAGCCCAUAUGGGCCUGCAGCCUGAUGUCGAAACCCUGGAGACCUCUAGGGACCCGGACAGCAGCCAACUCAAUGCCGUUUACUGAACACAUGUUCUGUGCUUGGCACUGGGCCAGGAGGAAGGGCUAGGAGGGAAAUUAGACUUGAUCCCUGGCCUCAAAAUAUCAUAGUCUGGUAGGAGGACAAACUUUUUUAUUUAUUUAUUUAUUUUUGGUUUUUUGAGACAGGGUCUCGCUAUGUAGUUGAGACUGAUCUGGAACUCACUAUGUAGCCCAGGCUGGUCUCAAACUCACGCCUCAGCCUCCCGAGUGCUGGGAUUAUAGGCAUGCGCCACCACGCUCGGUUACAAACUUUGAAUAGAUAACAACACAAUGUAAGGGACAGUAAUGUAGGUGUAUUGAUAGGACAGGUAGCUGGUACUGAUAUGAGAGGAAGGUGUAAAGGAAGAUGCGAGAGCUGCUACCUAAAAUUUUCUGUUAUGGAAGACUGAAAAUGAACAAAACAAGACAGAAGAAAACAGCAAAUCCGUAAGGCCUCACCAUGCAGCUCUAGUAAGGAUCUCCUCUGCUCAGACUCAGUGUCUAUACUGUCAUCCCUGUCCACUGUGCUGCCUUGGUUCUAGGGUGGGGGAUUCUGCAAAUGGACCAGUACGGACCAGGGGGAGGGGGAGGGGGAAGAGCGCUGGGGCUAGGGGCGUUAAACGCCACUCCUGUGUGGACCCAGGCGCCCCCCUUCGCCUAGGCGGACCUAGCACUCCGCAGCUGAAAG